CAAAGGUUCUCUCAGUACGGUCGGAAAUCGUACGUAGAGUGUAAAGGCAAAAGAGAGCUUGAUUGCAAGACAUACAGGUCGAGCAAGGAUGAAAAGCGGACUUAGUGAUCCGGUGUGUCUGCGUGGAAGGGACAUCGCUCAAUGUAGAAAAGCUACCCUGGUGAUAACAGGCGUAUCUCUCCUAAGAGUCCACAUCGACGCGGAGGUUUGGCACCUCGAUGUCGGCUCAUCACAUCCUGGGGCUGUAGUAGGUCUCAAGGGUUGGGCUGUUCGCCCAUUAAAGUGGUACGCGAGCUGGGUUCAGAACGUCGUGAGACAGUUCGGUCCCUAUCCGUCGCAGGCGUAGGAAAUUUGAGAAGACCUGUCCUUAGUACGAGAGGACCGGGAUGGACGUACCUCUGGUGUACCAGUUGUCCUGCCAAGGGCAUGGCUGGGUAGCUAUGUACGGAAUGGAUAAGCGCUGAAAGCAUCUAAGCGCGAAGCCAACUUCAAGAUAAGAUUUCCCACCGCAAGGGUAAGACCCCAGAAAGACUAUCUGGUUG
Molecule: ribosomal RNA, 542 nt
Filed under: Clostridioides difficile
Lineage: Bacteria; Bacillati; Bacillota; Clostridia; Peptostreptococcales; Peptostreptococcaceae
Description: bacterial LSU rRNA
Rfam family: Bacterial large subunit ribosomal RNA
Source: RNAcentral